UACACACUCAUAUGGACACACUCACAUUCAUUUACACACACAUACACACAAACACUCACAUUCAUUUACACACACACUCACAUUCAUUUAUACACACACAUAUACACUCAUAUGGACACAAUAACAUUCAUAGACACACUCAUAUUCACAUACACACACACUCACAUUCAUUUAUACACACAUACACACUCAUAUGGACACACUGACAUUCAUUUACAUACACAUACAAACACUCAC
Molecule: non-coding RNA, 237 nt
Organism: Pelobates cultripes (western spadefoot toad)
Lineage: Eukaryota; Metazoa; Chordata; Amphibia; Anura; Pelobatidae
Source: the annotation of a GenBank genome assembly